UGUACAUGUAAGUUUAUGCAAAUUUCAAUAAAUUAAAAAAAAGCAGUAUUUAAUAUUAAAAAUAUAAGGAAUUAUGAUUUAGAAAUGAAUUUUAGGUUUAACAAAAUUUGUGCCAGCAGUUGCGGUUAUACAAAUAAACCAGUUAAUAUAUAUUAAUUAGUAGUUAAAAGAAUAAUUUAAAAAUAAUUAAAGUUAUUAGGUGAAAUUAAUACUUUAUAUUAAUUAAAGAUUUAGGUUUUGAGGCUAUGAAAUUUAUUAAUAAACUAGGAUUAGAUACCCUAUUAUUAUAAAUGUAAAAUUUUUAUUAGGUUAGUGUAAGUUAAGGUCUUUAAAACAAAAGAUUUUGGCGGUAUUUUAGUCUUUUCAGAGGAACCUGUCCUGUAAUUGAUAAUCCACGAUUGGAAAUACUUUUUUUAAAAGUUUGUAUAUCGUUGUAGUUGAGUGUUUUAUAAGAAUUUAUAACAUUCAAGAAUUUUAUGAAAAAGAAAAUCAAAUCAAGAUGCAGUUAAUGAGAAAGAAGAGAUGGGUUACAAUAAAUUUAUUUAAAUGGAAUAAGAAUAUAAACUUUUUUAUUAAAGUGGAUUUGAAAGUAAAAAGGAAUAUUUAUUUUUUUUGAUUAAGCUCUAAAAUAUGCACAUAUCGCCCGUCGCUUUCAUUUAAGAUGAAAUAAGUCGUAACAGAGUAGAUGUACUGGAAAGUGUAUCUAGAAAGCU
Molecule: non-coding RNA, 713 nt
Filed under: Coomaniella dentata
Lineage: Eukaryota; Metazoa; Arthropoda; Insecta; Coleoptera; Buprestidae
Source: RNAcentral